This 433-nucleotide ribosomal RNA is filed under the name uncultured bacterium. Its description in RNAcentral is "partial 16S ribosomal RNA". It matches the Rfam family "Bacterial small subunit ribosomal RNA", at positions 29 to 507 of the family's 1533-position model. The record is from RNAcentral.
AACGAACGCUGGCGGCAUGCCUAACACAUGCAAGUCGAACGAGACCUUCGGGUCUAGUGGCGCACGGGUGCGUAACGCGUGGGAACCUGCCCUUAGGUUCGGAAUAACUCCCCGAAAGGGGUGCUAAUACCGGAUAAUGUCUUCGGACCAACGAUUUAUCGCCUUUGGAUGGGGGUGCGUUGGAUUAGCUAGUUGGUAGGGUAAAAGCCUACCAAGGCGACGAUCCAUAGCUGGUCUGAGAGGAUGAUCAGCCACACUGGGACUGAGACACGGCCCAGACUCGUACGGGAGGCAGCAGUGGGGAAUAUUGGACAAUGGGCGAAAGCCUGAUCAAGCAAUGCCGCGUGAGUGAUGAAGGCCUUAGGGUUGUAAAGCUCUUUUACCCGGGAUGAUAAUGACAGUACCGGGAGAAUAAGCACCGGCUAACUCCGUG